Molecule: ribosomal RNA, 502 nt
Filed under: uncultured bacterium
Lineage: Bacteria
Description: partial 16S ribosomal RNA
Rfam family: Bacterial small subunit ribosomal RNA
Source: RNAcentral
GACGAACGCUGGCGGCGUGCCUAAUACAUGCAAGUCGAGCGAACCGCGACUGAGUGCUUGCACUUGGUCAAGGUGAGUGGCGAACGGGUGAGUAACACGUGGGUAACCUACCUCAUAGUGGGGGAUAACAGUCGGAAACGACUGCUAAUACCGCAUAGGACAUAGGAUCACAUGAUCCAGUGAGGAAAGGUGGCGCAAGCUAUCGCUAAGAGAUGGACCCGCGGUGCAUUAGCUAGUUGGUAGGGUAAAGGCCUACCAAGGCGAUGAUGCAUAGCCGACCUGGGAGGGUGAUCGGCCACAUUGGGACUGAGACACGGCCCAAACUCCUACGGGAGGCAGCAGUAGGGAAUCUUCCGCAAUGGACGCAAGUCUGACGGAGCAACGCCGCGUGAGUGAAGAAGGUCUUCGGAUCGUAAAGCUCUGUUGUUAGAGAAGAACAGCGCAUAGAGUAACUGCUAUGCGUGUGACGGUAUCUAACCAGAAAGCCACGGCUAACUACGUG